AUUCCAGCUCCAAUAGCGUAUAUUUAAGUUGUUGCGGUUAAAAAGCUCGUAGUUGGAUUUCGGGCGUGGAGGCUCGGUCCGCCGUUUCGGUGUGCACUGUCUUUCUGCGUCUUUCUGUCGGGGACGCGCUUCUGGCCUUAAUUGGCUGGGACGUGGAUUCGACGAGGUUACUUUGAGAAAAUUAGAGUGUUCAAAGCAAGCUAAAGCUCUGAAUACAUUAGCAUGGAAUAACGCGAGAGGACUCGGUCCUUAUUUUGUUGGUCUUCAAGGAUGGAGUAAUGAUUAAGAGGGACAGUUGGGGGCAUUCGUAUUUCAUUGCUAGAGGUGAAAUUCUUGGAUUUAUGAAAGACGAACUUCUGCGAAAGCAUUUGCCAAGGAUGUUUUCAUCA
RNAcentral lists this ribosomal RNA (389 nucleotides) under Pycnococcaceae sp. RNAcentral's name for it is "partial small subunit ribosomal RNA". It matches the Rfam family "Eukaryotic small subunit ribosomal RNA", at positions 582 to 975 of the family's 1831-position model. Lineage: Eukaryota; Viridiplantae; Chlorophyta; Pseudoscourfieldiophyceae; Pseudoscourfieldiales; Pycnococcaceae. The record is from RNAcentral.